RNAcentral lists this ribosomal RNA (825 nucleotides) under Cadophora sp. Its description in RNAcentral is "partial large subunit ribosomal RNA". It matches the Rfam family "Eukaryotic large subunit ribosomal RNA", at positions 85 to 927 of the family's 3401-position model. Lineage: Eukaryota; Fungi; Ascomycota; Leotiomycetes; Helotiales; Ploettnerulaceae. The record is from RNAcentral.
AACGGCGAGUGAAGCGGUAACAGCUCAAAUUUGAAAGCUAGCUCUUUUAGGGUUCGCAUUGUAAUUUGUAGAAGAUGCUUCGGGUGUGGCCCCGGUCUAAGUUCCUUGGAACAGGACGUCAUAGAGGGUGAGAAUCCCGUAUGUGACUGGGUGCUUUCGCUCAUGUGAAGCUCUUUCGACGAGUCGAGUUGUUUGGGAAUGCAGCUCAAAAUGGGUGGUAAAUUUCAUCUAAAGCUAAAUAUUGGCCAGAGACCGAUAGCGCACAAGUAGAGUGAUCGAAAGAUGAAAAGCACUUUGGAAAGAGAGUUAAACAGUACGUGAAAUUGUUGAAAGGGAAGCGCUUGCAACCAGACUUGCGCGCUGAUGAUCAUCCGGGCUUCUGCCCGGUGCACUCGUCUGCGCUCAGGCCAGCAUCGGUUUCGGUGGUGGGAUAAAGGCCUUGGGAAUGUAGCUUCUUUCGGGGAGUGUUAUAGCCCUCGGUGCAAUGCCGCCUACCGGGACCGAGGACCGCGCUUCGGCUAGGAUGCUGGCGUAAUGGUUGUAAGCGACCCGUCUUGAAACACGGACCAAGGAGUCUAACAUCUAUGCGAGUGUUUGGGUGUCAAACCCAUACGCGUAAUGAAAGUGAACGGAGGUGAGAACCCUUAAGGGUGCAUCAUCGACCGAUCCUGAUGUCUUCGGAUGGAUUUGAGUAAGAGCAUAGCUGUUGGGACCCGAAAGAUGGUGAACUAUGCGUGAAUAGGGUGAAGCCAGAGGAAACUCUGGUGGAGGCUCGCAGCGGUUCUGACGUGCAAAUCGAUCGUCAAAUUUGCGUAUAGGGGCGAA